GGCCUAAUGGUCUAGUAGUAUGAUUCCUGCUUUGGGUUGCUUCAAACACAUCGAUUGCAGGAGGUCCUGGGUUCAACUCCCAGUUGGGCCC
This is a non-coding RNA of Coniochaeta sp. 2T2.1, 91 nucleotides long. The record is from the annotation of a GenBank genome assembly. Lineage: Eukaryota; Fungi; Ascomycota; Sordariomycetes; Coniochaetales; Coniochaetaceae.